GCGGGGAGAGAGGAGACGCGUCAGCGCGGCGGGGCCCGCCCGGACGCCCGCCCUCCCGCUGGCCGCCAGCCGCGCCAGCGCGGGGACAGCGCGACCCGGAGCCGGCGCUGCCUUCCCUUCCCUCGCCCGGCACCUCCACGCUGGCCCGCGCCACCCGGGGAGGGUCUCCGGCGCAGCCGCGCGAGCACCUCCCGGAACGGCGCCGCGCAUCGGCGAGCGGAGACCCGGCGGCGGCGCGCCUGCCACGGAGCCACCCGAUUCCCGUACUCCGGCCGCGGCCCGCGCCUCCUCCGCUCGGGCGCCGUCAGCGGUCCCGCCGCCGCCCCCGGGCCGCCAGGACGCCGCGAGAACGCAGAGGGAAGCAGGGUCUUUGUGACCUGUAUCUGGCAAAACCUCCCCUGAGAUGCAAUUCAUUGGUUCCUGGGGUAACCAACCUGCCUCCCUGGCAGCCACUGACUCAUCCUGUGACGAAGAAUGCCUAACCUCCUG
RNAcentral lists this long non-coding RNA (489 nucleotides) under Homo sapiens (human). Its description in RNAcentral is "HSALNT0225838". The record is from RNAcentral. Lineage: Eukaryota; Metazoa; Chordata; Mammalia; Primates; Hominidae.